GAAAGAGGGUUAAACCUCCCUUGUUUCUAUGACAAUGUUGGUACCCGUGUGCAACCGGAAAGAAACCCUUCUCGCAUACACGCUUUUGUUCAAGCACAUCGUCAGAUUGAGGAUGCAACCACUCAUGGUCGGCUCCGGGAUGAUCUAGUAGAGCACCACUGGCAGUUGGAUGGGCGGCGCAUUGGCCCAUGA
This 192-nucleotide ribosomal RNA is filed under the name Triticum aestivum (bread wheat). Its description in RNAcentral is "partial small subunit ribosomal RNA". Lineage: Eukaryota; Viridiplantae; Streptophyta; Magnoliopsida; Poales; Poaceae. The record is from RNAcentral.